UCCUACGGGGCGCAGCAGUGAGGAAUAUUGGUCAAUGGGCGGAAGCCUGAACCAGCCAAGUCGCGUGAGGGAAUAAGGCCCUACGGGUCGUAAACCUCUUUUGCCGGGGAGCAAGGGCCGGGACGCGUCCCGGCCCGGAGAGUACCCGGAGAAAAAGCAUCGGCUAACUCCGUGCCAGCAGCCGCGGUAAUACGGAGGAUGCGAGCGUUAUCCGGAUUUAUUGGGUUUAAAGGGUGCGUAGGCGGGCUUUUCAGGCAGCGGCAAAAAUUCGGGGCUCAACCCCGUCGGGCUGUUGAAAUGGGGGG
RNAcentral lists this ribosomal RNA (305 nucleotides) under uncultured bacterium. RNAcentral's name for it is "bacterial SSU rRNA". It matches the Rfam family "Bacterial small subunit ribosomal RNA", at positions 337 to 639 of the family's 1533-position model. The record is from RNAcentral.